Molecule: long non-coding RNA, 2360 nt
Filed under: Equus caballus (horse)
Lineage: Eukaryota; Metazoa; Chordata; Mammalia; Perissodactyla; Equidae
Description: lncRNA (ENSECAG00000053505.1)
Source: RNAcentral
CGGGUGGGGGCCGGCGGGGGCGGCGCAGGGUCUCCCCUGCGAGGCCAGGCGGAGGUUCGCGGCUCCAGGUGCCCGCUCUGCUCCUCCCAGAAGCUGGACUCACGGGAAACGCAGGCCCGGCCGCCCCGCGAGCCCUCUAUUUACAGCCAGGGCUUGUGAAGGAGGCGGCGCUGAGAAGGCAGCCUUGGGAGGUCCAAGGCGUCUGAAGAUUUCAUCAGGACGUGCCCCCUGCGGCUCCUCCCCGGGGUUUGGGGUCACGAGGAUGUUGCCGCCUGGGACCCCUCCUGGUUACUGCCGUGAACCCGCCGGGCGCGGGGCCUCCUGCCACCUCGACGUCCGGGCUCCAGGCUCCCGGAUCUGGGCCCUUCUCGACAAAGCCGCAAGAGACCCGUGGCCCCUACUUAGAGAGCAGAGCUACCAAACGCCUGGUCACUCAGGCCAGUGACCUCCCACGGGCAUCCUGGGGUCCCCCCUCUUCUCCAGCCUACCUUGAAGACGCUAAAUUUGAAACAGGCUGCGAGUCUUUCCGCCCCCAUCCUGCUCUCCAGUGGGCAGCUCCGUCGUUGCUGGGGUCACUGUCCCCCUAUCCUCUGCCUACCCAGAAAUCUACUCUCAACAUCCACCCAGAGCCAGAGAGAGCUCCGGGAAAUCAAAUGAGCUCCUCUCACCUGGAGAAUGUCAACCAUGUGAGAGAAGAAACUGUCUGUUCGCUGUGGAUCCCUGCUCUGAGAACGGGGUCAGCCACAGGGAGAGAUGGCAGCUUUCAAAACGGGAGCCCAAUCUUUCAACAAGCCCAAGAGAAAAACUGGCAAUGUGCAGGGGGGAAAACCUAUUUGAAAGCAUCAGAGAGCGACUUAGGCUGCCAGGACCUGAGGGACCAGCAUCUCAUACCGAGGGACAUGCACUGAGGGGAGCCCUACAUCCUCCACCUCCUUCCUCUUUGAGGAUUUCCCAAUUCGUAAGUCGGGGGUGAGUGCCGACAGAAACCGAGAACCUUUCAGCAAGCUCAUGAAUCUGGGGACAAAACACUUGAAGUUGGAGGCCCCAAGGCAGCCAGGGUUUGAGGGCCCGAGAUCUCAGAGAAGAUAGGACCCCCUAGAAGAGGCUCUGAUUUGCUGCAGUGUUUUCGCUUUUGAAGCAUUUGCUGAUUCCUAAGCUGUACAGACAUGAGGCUCAGAGGACAAGCAGAAAUUGAGCAGGUGAGAGGCCGAGAAAGUGAGCAACGUCUGCACCAAUAUCAUGACGCCCUAACAGCCGAACUUGGAGUUCGGUUGUCACCCAACAGGUGGAGCCACGGAAAAUGAACGCUGGUUUCCAUUGAGUCCUCCAACAGACUUGUUCUAGGAAGUAAGGACAAACCAAAUAAACCAGAUCUCAUAAAAAUGGAAAAUCAGUCUUGAAUCAUUACAAUCAUGGUAACCUGUCCUUACUCUAGUGGCUGUCAGGGCAAAAAAGGUAAGUCUGCUUCAGGAAAAAUAUAACAUCAUCCACAGACACUACACUAUUUCAAACAAAAUGCCUAACCAGCAUUCAUAAAAAUAUUACCAGACAUGUCAGAAAGAGGACCAAAUAACCAAAAACCAAGAGCAAACAAAACAAGAGAUAGACAAUAAGAAAAAGCUCACAGAUGACUGGUUAAUGAGGCUGUUGGAGAUAAACUGUAAAAUAUCUGUUAUUAACAUAUUCAAUAAAAAGAUGACAAGAUGGAAAACUUUAUUAGAGAAACAGAAUAUCUAAAAAAUAAUCACAUGAAUAUUUGCUAACUGGGAAAAUACAAUAACAGAAAUUAAAAAGACAAUAGGCUGGUGUAAUAGCCAGUUAAACAAAGCAGAAGAUAGAAUUGUUGGAAAUAUCCAUACUGAAGCUUGGCGACCAAAGAGGAUUGCAGGUACACAAAAGAGCCUUAGACAUCUGGACCAGGGUGAAUAGGUCUAACGUGAGUGUAACUUAAAUCCUAAAAACAGGGGAAAGAGACUGUCAGAAGUGCUGUAUGAAGGUAUAUAACUGAGGCUUCUUCAAAGUUGAAAGACACUAAGUCAGAGAUUCAGGAACCCCUGGCAUGUUAACACAAAGAAAUACAUACCUGAAAGAAAACAAUGGCCAAUCUAGAACUUUAUUCUGUUAAAAUUAUCCUUUGAAGGUGGAUAAUCAAUAAAUGUUUUCAUGGAAGCAAAAACAGAUCAUUCAUAGUCAGCAGAUGUGCAUUAAAAUAAAUACCAAAUGGAAUUGUUUAGGAAGAAGGAAAAAUGAUUCUAAAUGAAGAAUACAGGAAAAACGAAGACUAAUAGAAAGGGUAAAUAUGUUGGAAAAUUUAACCAUGAGUGCACAAAAUAGCAAUAGUAAUAAUAAUUUGUGGAGGU